AGAAAACUGCAAGAUCUUUUCCCAGACAUGGACAAGCAAACGAACACAGCAGAUAUGUUAGAUUUGGCAGUUGAGUACAUUAAAGACCUUCAAAAACAGGUUAAGACCCUCACAGAUACUAGAGCAAAGUGCACAUGUUCAAGUAAACAGAAACAGUAUUCGAAUGUGUCUGCUUGAUUUGUUUCUGUAUGCAUAUGCAGCUGGGAAAAUGUGAAGGAUUGAGAAGAAUAACCAGCUACUUAAUUUUUAAUGUACUCUAGAAGAAUAGGAGAUUGUGAUGUUACCUUUUUUGCAAGCUAGUACUCUUAAUGAUGAAUCUCUUUUGGAAAGAAAAAUGAAAUCAGAUCCUUCUGCACUGCAGGAUUCAAGAAGAUGAGUUGCUUAGCACAUACUAUGUUGUAAUUUCUUGAAUGUAAACGUAGUUGUGUUUUGUGCCCUUCAAUUUUUUUAUUUUUUUUUAUUUUUUAUUUUUCACAUCAAAAUAAAGAAAUACCGAUUGGAUUAGAAGUUCAUAAGAAAUUUCCAUAUAUAAAUAUAGGUUCGUUCUCUGUAGAUUUUAACCAGCCAACCCAACUACCUCUACUUCCUUCUUCUCUCUUGUUCAUCUUUGACUCUUCUACUUCACUUCAACACCCAUGUCUUCCAUACUGGGCUUAACCUCUCAAGGUGUUGUCUUUGCCACUGCCAUGGUAGUUUCCAGCACUGUUCUUUUUCUUGCUUUCUCUAAGCAAAAAAACUUCCCUGAACUCUUUAAGAAUCAUGAUUCUCAGUCGCCAAUUCAAAAUCUACGUUCUUGCUUGCGUUCUUCAGGUACGUACCUGCCCAAUUUUCCUCCUCUUUCUUUCUUGGUUAAUUCUUUCUGUUUGACAGAGAUGUGUUAAUUGUUCUUGUUUCUUGUGUGCAGAAGAGGGAAAGAAAAGGGACAAGAAGAAGAAGAAGAAGAAAGGAGACGAGAUGGAGACCCAAGAGCAGCAAGCUAAGUCAAGAGUGGUGAAGGUGGAUUCGGUGGAGUCUUGGGAUUUCUAUGUUACCCAAGCCAAUAAUCAAGGCUGCCCUGUAAGUUAUUUUUCUGUGUUUCUACAAUUUUCGUACUGGGAAUCUUGUGUUAGCCCCUUCUUCCCAUCUUUUAUUUUUAGAAAGAAUUAAAUUUCAAUCACCCAAAAAAUUCGGGGCAUUGAAUAUUGAUAGCCAUCUCAACCUGGAAGUUGUCUGUAAUGCAACAUAAUUGACUCUUGCUAUAUGGUUCCUAUUUAAAAUCUUCUUUAAUUUAGCCUAAAGCCUCAGACCACCGCCUUUGAUUCCAUGAAGUGGCAAUCUAAUAUGUGUCUUCCAUAAUCCAUACACAUUAAUUGAUUACCAAUCAAAAGGUUUGUUUGAUUUUGGAGAUGAGUUGGAGGAUUUGUAAUAAAGAAAUCUCUUUUGGCAAAUCAUUUGGUUCAUUGAUGUUCAUUUUUUAGUUUGACUUGUUGUAGAUUGUUGUACACUUUACUGCUUCAUGGUGUAUCCCCUCUGUGGCCAUGAACCCUUUUUUCGAGGAAUUAGCCUCGGCUUAUCCAGAUGUCCUGUUUCUAGCUGUUGAUGUCGAUGAAGUCAAGGUAAUAUAUUAAUUUUUCAGUGAACACCUGUCUGUAUACUUAAAUUUCUUGUUUCUGCAUUCUGACAAGCUACGGAAUAAUUGAUAUAUUGAUGGAAUACAACAGAAACAGCAGUAUUAGAAUCCUUGACUUCAAUAUCGAAUGCAUUAGAGGUUGAAUCUUGUGAUAUUGUUUGUUUUCAACUUCUUGUGGUGGAUAUUUCUAAGAAAUAUCUUUACAAGGGUAUGAAUUAGCUUGUCCUUCAUGUAUUUGCCAACUAGAUUACCUUUUAUGAGGUCAGGGAUGUAUUGUAUAUGUAUUUAGGUUGUUAAGUCAUAUAGAAGCUCAUCAAUGGAUUAUGAUUUAUAACACCAGGAAUAUUAUACUAGGUAAUUUUUUAUCAAUUUUCAUAUGAUUCUGGGUAUUAGUAUUUAAUAUCAUGUACUCUGUUUGUAUGUUUUAGUCUUUUGAUGUGUAGAAAUUUCAAUUAAUGACACACUGGGCUUCAGGUCCAUUGGGAAAAGAUGCUCUGGUGUUUGAUAAGGUUCAAACUAACUGUUAUUUUCUUCUUACAAAAUCACAGAUAUUGAUUAAUGUAUUGCAUUAUAUUAAGCUUACUGUUGGAGUUGAUGAGAUUUAGUAUAUACAAGUAAAGAAAAAGUCAUAUCCAAGCAUGGUGCAAGUAUGGGCUAUGUUAACUAAAGAAAGCAUUCUUUCCAUAUAAAGGAAGAGAGUGCUGCUGCUGGAAAGAGUGAGAGCUGCUGCUGGAAAUAGAGAGUGCAGAGAGAAUUUGAGAGGCCUGGAAUGAGAGUUUGAGAGAUCUAACAAAAUGAGGAAGAAAAGAAAGAA
Molecule: unclassified non-coding RNA, 2423 nt
Filed under: Hevea brasiliensis (rubber tree)
Lineage: Eukaryota; Viridiplantae; Streptophyta; Magnoliopsida; Malpighiales; Euphorbiaceae
Source: RNAcentral